AUGGAGGACAAGGUGGAUGAGUACUUGUAUCUUGUAGGUCGAGAACAUGAUAUAGGUUGUUGUUUUCUCAUGAAGAAAGGGCUCAAAAAGCCAAGACCACUCCUUUGUUUGAAUCAGAUAGCUCUAAGAGUGAAGGAAAUGGAGAAAGACCUUUCACACCUGUCACAGUCAAAAAACCAUUGGGUUCCCAUGAUAAAUAAUGGGGAUUCUAGCGACCUCAGUUACAUUGUCAAGAGAUCACAAGAGCUAGCAAAAAUUUCAUGCUCACUUGAUGAUGAAGAUCUAGUGGGGGUGGAUAAAAACAGAGAAAAACUCGAGCAUUGGUUGGGGGGGGGGGGUGAUGAUCAGGAAUGCUCUAUGAUAGCUCUGCUCGGAAUGGGAGGUCUUGGUAAAACUGCUUUAGCUGCAAAUGUCUACAAGAAGGAGAGGGAGAAAUUCCAGUGCUAUGCAUAG
Molecule: ribosomal RNA, 453 nt
Filed under: Triticum aestivum (bread wheat)
Lineage: Eukaryota; Viridiplantae; Streptophyta; Magnoliopsida; Poales; Poaceae
Description: partial small subunit ribosomal RNA
Source: RNAcentral